GGGCCCAUAGCUCAGUUGGUCAGAGCGGUCGGCUCAUAACCGAUUGGUCCUAGGUUCGAGUCCUAGUGGGCCCACCA
RNAcentral lists this transfer RNA (77 nucleotides) under bacterium. RNAcentral describes it as "tRNA-Ile". It matches the Rfam family "tRNA". From Rfam's summary of the family: Transfer RNA (tRNA) molecules are approximately 80 nucleotides in length. Their secondary structure includes four short double-helical elements and three loops (D, anti-codon, and T loops). Further hydrogen bonds mediate the characteristic L-shaped molecular structure. tRNAs have two regions of fundamental functional importance: the anti-codon, which is responsible for specific mRNA codon recognition, and the 3' end, to which the tRNAs corresponding amino acid is attached (by aminoacyl-tRNA synthetases). tRNAs cope with the degeneracy of the genetic code in two manners: having more than one tRNA (with a specific anti-codon) for a particular amino acid; and 'wobble' base-pairing, i.e. permitting non-standard base-pairing at the 3rd anti-codon position. The record is from RNAcentral. RNAcentral also lists the same sequence under 6 other names.